CUAGAUAGGCGGGCCUUGAUCCCACGAAAAAUUAGUUAACAGCUAAACACCCAGAUCCAGCGGGCUUCUAUCCG
Molecule: transfer RNA, 74 nt
Filed under: Urosaurus graciosus
Lineage: Eukaryota; Metazoa; Chordata; Lepidosauria; Squamata; Phrynosomatidae
Description: tRNA-Asn
Source: RNAcentral